Molecule: microRNA precursor, 154 nt
Filed under: Paramuricea clavata
Lineage: Eukaryota; Metazoa; Cnidaria; Anthozoa; Malacalcyonacea; Plexauridae
Source: RNAcentral
UGCCACGCUUCUAGGCAAAGUCUUUGACCAUAGCGAUUGUUUGUGGUAAUUACUUUAGAGUUUUCCCACUACAAUCGCUAUGGUCAAAGACUUAAUUACCGCAAACAAUCGCUAUGGUCAAAGACUUUGCCUAGAAGCGUGGCAUAUAAAUAUG